UAAGGCAAUGGCCAUGAAGAAGACAGGAGACAGAGUAGAAACAAGGGAAGAAGCUGAGUUGGUCCCAGGAGGAGGACUUGAAGUUCCAGGCGCGGUGGCGGUCGGAGUUCCAGGCGAGGUGGGCGUGGCAGCGGUCGGAGGCGUACUGGUGGUGGGGCUGGUAGCUACAGGCGUGGUGGUGGGACUCGGUCCAGGUGCGGGAACAGCAGCGGUACGGUUGUUCCCAUUUCUUACUUCGACGUUGAGCUUUUGCCCGCCGGAACAGUGACCGGGGAAAGCACAAAUGAAGUAAAAAUCGCCGGUCCUGUUAAGAGUAAUCCUUGCCGGUCCGGUGCUGACGGUU
This 343-nucleotide long non-coding RNA is filed under the name Gossypium barbadense (sea-island cotton). RNAcentral's name for it is "long non-coding RNA (GBAR_LNC013012)". Lineage: Eukaryota; Viridiplantae; Streptophyta; Magnoliopsida; Malvales; Malvaceae. The record is from RNAcentral.